RNAcentral lists this long non-coding RNA (311 nucleotides) under Nicotiana benthamiana. RNAcentral's name for it is "long non-coding RNA (NBEN_LNC017997)". The record is from RNAcentral. Lineage: Eukaryota; Viridiplantae; Streptophyta; Magnoliopsida; Solanales; Solanaceae.
CCGGAAAAAAAUCAAAGUUGUCGGAAUCGAACAAAAAAUGGAUGGGUAGGGUCGGAAUUAUAUUCCGACUAAACUGUCCUUCUGGAGCGAUCGGAAAAAGUGGCCGGAAAGGCAAAGUUGUCGGAAUCGAACAAAAAAUGGAUGGGUAGGGUCGGAAUUAUAUUCCGACUAAACUGUCCUUCUGGAGCGAUCGGAAAAAGUGGCCGAAAAGGCCCUCACGCGCCGGCGCGUGGGCGUCACGCGCAGAGGGUCCUGCCGCGCGUGGGGGCGCGUGAAGCGUCGGUUUCCGGUGAUUUUUUCUGGGGUUGNNN